Non-coding RNA from Podarcis lilfordi (Lilford's wall lizard), 1251 nucleotides. The record is from the annotation of a GenBank genome assembly. Lineage: Eukaryota; Metazoa; Chordata; Lepidosauria; Squamata; Lacertidae.
CGGCGAGUGUCCGCAAGCCUUGCGCGCCCGGCAGGAGGUCCCGCCGAGCGCGCGAGGCUUGGGGCAGCAGCCUGUUGCCCGAAGCACGGGAGCCCUCCGGAGGGCUCCCGUGCUUCGGGCGAGUGUCUGCAAGCCUUGCGCGCCCGGCAGGAGGUCCCGCCCGGCGCGCAAGGCUUGGGCGGCAGCCUGUCGCCCGAAGCACGGGAGCCCUCCGGAGGGCUCCCGUGCUCGGGCGAGUGUCCGCAAGCCUUGCGCGCCCGGCAGGAGGUCCCGCCCGGCGCGCAAGGCUUGGGGCUGCAGCUGUCGCCCGAAGCACGGGGAGCCCUCCGGAGGGCUCCCCGUGCUUCGGGCGAGUGUCCGCAAGCCUUGCGCGCCCGGCAGGAGGUCCCGCCCGGCGCGCAAGGCUUGGGGCUGCAGCUUGUCGCCCGAGCACGGGGAGCCCUCCGGAGGGCUCCCGUGCUUCGGGCGAGUGUCCGCAAGCCUUGCGCGCCCGGCAGGAGGUCCCGCCCGGCGCGCAAGGCUUGGGCGGCAGCCUGUCGCCCGAAGCACGGGAGCCCUCCGGAGGGCUCCCGUGCUUCGGGCGAGUGUCCGCAAGCCUUGCGCGCCCGGCAGGAGGUCCCGCCCGGCGCGCAAGGCUUGGGGCUGCAGCUGUCGCCCGAGCACGGGGAGCCCUCCGGAGGGCUCCCGUGCUUCGGGCGAGUGUCCGCAAGCCUUGCGCGCCGGGCAGGAGGUCCCGCCCGGCGCGCAAGGCUGGGGCUGCAGCUUGUCGCCCGAAGCACGGGGAGCCCUCCGGAGGGCUCCCUUGCUUCGGGCGAGUGUCCGCAGCCUUGCGCGCCCGGCAGGAGGUCCCGCCCGGCGCGCAAGGCUUGGGGCUGCAGCUUGUCGCCCGAAGCACGGGAGCCCUCCGGAGGGCUCCCUUGCUUCGGGCGAGUGUCUGCAAGCCUUGCGCGCCCGGCAGGAGGUCCCGCCCGGCGCGCAAGGCUUGGGGCUGCAGCAUGUCGCCCGAAGCACGGGGAGCCCUCCGGAGGGCUCCCCGUGCUUCGGGCGAGUGUCUGCAAGCCUCGCGCGCCCUGUGGGAGGUCCCGCCGAGCGCGCGAGGCUUGGGGAGGUAGCCUGCCGCCCGAAGCACGCGAGGCUUGGGGCGGCAGCCGCGGGGGGGGGGGAUAAUUUUUUUUAUUCAUUUCCCCCCCCAAAAAACGAGGUGCGUCCUAUGGACCGGUGCGUCCUAUAGAACGAAAAAUACGGUAAAUC